AACGCACAUUGCGCCUGCUUGCAGGCAUGCCCGUUCGAGCGUCGCUACUAAUUAGAAUCUCGCUUUUUUGUGAGAAUCUGUGUUGGACGAGCCCAUCUGGGCCGUCCGGAAAGCAGUGGCCACAAUGGCACCGAUCACGGUCGACAGGAGUCAGCCGCGGCGUCUAUUGCGAGUCUCAACUCUCUCUUUUUGACCUCGAAUCGGGUAGGGAUACCCGCUGAACUUAA
Molecule: unclassified non-coding RNA, 227 nt
Filed under: uncultured Ascomycota
Lineage: Eukaryota; Fungi; Ascomycota
Description: sequence contains 5.8S rRNA gene, ITS2, 28S rRNA gene
Source: RNAcentral